UCCAGACUCCUACGGGAGGCAGCAGUGAGGAAUAUCGGUCAAUGGGCGGAAGCCUGAACCAGCCAAGUCGCGUGAGGGAAGAAGGCCCUGCGGGUCGCAGACCUCUUUGGACGGGGAGCAAGGCCGCCGACGUGUCGGCGGAAGGAGAGUACCCGUAGAACAAGCAUCGGCUAACUCCGUGCCAGCAGCCGCGGUAAUACGUAGGGGGCAAGCGUUAUCCGGAUUUACUGGGUGUAAAGGGAGCGUAGACGGCAGCGCAAGUCUGAAGUGAAAGGUACGGGCUCAACCUGUACAGGCUUUGGAAACUGCCACGCUCGAGGACAGGAGAGGGCGGUGGAACUCCAUGUGUAGCGGUAAAAUGCGUAGAUAUAUGGAAGAACACCAGUGGCGAAGGCGGCCGCCUGGACUGUUACUGACGCUCAGGCACGAAAGCGUGGGGAGCAAAUAGGAUUAGAUACCCGGGUA
This 465-nucleotide ribosomal RNA is filed under the name uncultured bacterium. RNAcentral's name for it is "bacterial SSU rRNA". It matches the Rfam family "Bacterial small subunit ribosomal RNA", at positions 330 to 792 of the family's 1533-position model. The record is from RNAcentral.